This 497-nucleotide long non-coding RNA is filed under the name Cricetulus griseus (Chinese hamster). RNAcentral's name for it is "lncRNA (ENSCGRG00015041475.1)". The record is from RNAcentral. Lineage: Eukaryota; Metazoa; Chordata; Mammalia; Rodentia; Cricetidae.
GCAAGACACGUGCAUUGAAGAAAUAGCUGCAUGAUAUUUAUGGAUGUGACCAACUGCUUUUCUGAUUGGAAUUAGAACCCUUUCCAAAGGAAGGAACUCAUUACUGGCACUGAAAACCAAGCCAAGAACGUGUGACCAGAUGAUCAUAGAAGAAGAGGAAAGAGACUAGACUUCCCUGAAUGGCUAGCAUGUAUAAGGGUUGUGCUAUGAAGUUCAGAUAUGCAUCAGGCCCUUCAGAAAAUUUCCAAACAUUUCCUUUUACAGGACCGCACCAGCAAAGGAAGGUCACCUCGCCAAUAAUUGAGCCUUCAUCCAGUAGCUGAUGGAAGCAGAAGCAGACACCCACAGCUAAACACUGAGCUGAACUCUGGAAUCCAGUUGUAGAGAGAGAUGAGUGAUGAGCAAAGGGGUCAAGACCAGACUGAAGAAGCCCAUAGAAACAGCUGACCUGAAGAAGGGGUUGAUCAUGGACACCAGACUGAUAGCUUGGAAACCAG